UCCCUGGAGGACUAGUGGUUAAGCCACGGCACUUUCACUACUGUGGCUUGGGUUCGAUUCCCAGCCAGGGAA
This 72-nucleotide transfer RNA is filed under the name Pangasius djambal. RNAcentral describes it as "tRNA-Glu". It matches the Rfam family "tRNA". Rfam says of the family: Transfer RNA (tRNA) molecules are approximately 80 nucleotides in length. Their secondary structure includes four short double-helical elements and three loops (D, anti-codon, and T loops). The record is from RNAcentral. Lineage: Eukaryota; Metazoa; Chordata; Actinopteri; Siluriformes; Pangasiidae.